UACGAAGGGUGCAAGCGUUACUCGGAAUUACUGGGCGUAAAGCGUGCGUAGGUGGUGAGUUAAGUCUGAUGUGAAAUCCCCGGGCUCAACCUGGGAAUGGCAUUGGAUACUGGCUCGCUAGAGUGCGGUAGAGGGUGGUGGAAUUCCCGGUGUAGCGGUGAAAUGCGUAGAGAUCGGAAGGAACACCAGUGGCGAAGGCGGCUACCUGGACAAAUACUGACGCUGAUGCGCGAAGGCGUGGGGAUCAAACAGG
RNAcentral lists this ribosomal RNA (253 nucleotides) under uncultured bacterium. RNAcentral's name for it is "partial 16S ribosomal RNA". It matches the Rfam family "Bacterial small subunit ribosomal RNA", at positions 524 to 776 of the family's 1533-position model. The record is from RNAcentral.